Molecule: long non-coding RNA, 1095 nt
Filed under: Ornithorhynchus anatinus (platypus)
Lineage: Eukaryota; Metazoa; Chordata; Mammalia; Monotremata; Ornithorhynchidae
Description: lncRNA (ENSOANG00000037131.1)
Source: RNAcentral
AUGUCCUCCCUCCUGCUUCCCCCCCCAACACACACACACCACACUCCACCCUCCGGCCCCAUCCCUCCAGGGCCGGGGCCCCAUCCCUCCAGGGCCGGGGCUCCAUCUGGGGAUUUCUUGCUGCGUGUGGAGCGGGUGGGGACCUCCUCCCCCCCCACCCCCCGGGACUCGGGGAAUUCCCAGCUCCCCCCCGCCACCCCCAAUGAUUGUGCCGGGGAUCUCUCCUCGGGUUCUGCAGCCUCCUAUUUCUCUCCCUCCACCCCCACCCCGCCCCUUGCCUCGCUGGGCACCGUCUUCCCGGCCUCUCCUUUGCCCCCUCAGCCCAUCUUCCCCUGGCUUUCUCAUUCUCCAGCUCCGAUCAAGCGGGCCUCCACGCAGGUCAGUGCCCCCCGCCCCGCCAGGCCUCCGCCUCCUGUUUCCCCAUCACGGUCCUCCCCAGGCCACCCAGGCACUCCGCAUUCCCGUGCAUGGCUUCCCCGCAUCCUCAUUCCCUCGCACCCCAUUUUCCCCUUACCUUCCUGCCCUCUCCCCCGGGGCCGGCCUGCCCCUCUGUCCCGCUUUCAUCUUCCACCCCUGCCCCUCGCCCCCCAGCCCAGCCCCCGCUCACCUCCCUUUCCUCCUCUUGCCGGCGCCCUCGGGGGCCGCUCCUGCCGCCGCCACCACCACUGCAGCAGCCUGGAGCUAGUGAGGCAGCGGGUCCCCCCCCUUCCCUCCCCUCCUCUCCCCUCCCCUCGCCCUGCUCACGCCGCCCCCGCCCCUCUCACAGCCCUCCCUCCUGGACCCGGUGAGCCAGGCGCACCGGGGCGCUCUGUUACCGUGGCAACGGGCCCGGACCUCCCCCCCACCUCCAUCGAAGGAUACCAGCCCCAUCAAUAUUCCGCCAGCCGCCGCCCACCGAGCCCAGGGGUCUGGGGGGAAGGACCGGGGAAGGGGGUGGGGGGAACCAAGAGGGGGAGAAAUAACCCCAACCCAGGCAACGAAUUGAGGGGCUGGGAUUGGGAUGGCACCGGCCGUGUUGAAGACGCAGGAACCAGAAGUCCCCCAAGAAGCGAGGAGAUCAGUAAAGGGGAGAAAGAAAUACAGGAAAAGGAGUGA